GUGUUCGACAGCCGACCCAUAGAGUCCCUGUCCCUGACAGACGCCGUGACUCCUGACGUGGUGCAGACGCAGCAGCAGAAGUUCGGAGAGAAGCUCUCUCAGCAACAAGCCAGUGCAGCAGCCGCAGAGGCAGCAGCCAUGGCAAAGGUGGCAACCAUGACACCAGAUGCCCUUUCCCAGCAAAAUCCACCAAAGAAUGGAGAGGCAACAGUAAAUGGGGAAGAGAAAGGAGCACAUGCAAUCAAUAAUCACUGAAAGCCAAUGGAAAUAGAUGGGUAUGUUGAGAUUCCUCCCAACAAAGCCACAGUCCUUUGGGCCCAUGAGUCUGAGGUGUUCACUUGUGCCUGGAACUGUCAGUGAUUUGCUAGCUUCCAAAUCUGAAGACUCAACUGCAAAGAUAUGGAACCUGAAUGAGAAUGGCAACAGGGCCUCCACCCAGCUUAUGUUAAGGCACCGUAUACCAGAAGGGGCCAUGACAUCCCAAGUAACAAAGAUGUCAGAUGUCAUUUCACUGGACUGGAACAGUGAUGGAACACUAUUGGCUACGGGUUCAUAUGAUGGUUUCGCAAGAAUAUGGACAGAAAAUGGUAACCUGACCAGCACCUCAGGCCAACAUAAAGGCCCUAUCUUUGCCCUGAAAUGGAGCAAAAAAAGGGAAUUAUAUUUUGAGUACUGGUGUGGACAAAAGCACAGACAACAAUAAUUUGGGAUGCUCACACAGGAGAAACCAAACAGCAGUUUCCUUUUCAUUCAGAAUGAGGUCAACAUAUCAAAUGGGAUCCUUCUGGAAUGUUGCUGGCAUCCUGCUCUGAUGACAUGACAUUGAAGAUCUGGAGUAUGAAGCAGGACGCAUGCAUCCACGAUCUUUAGGCUCACAGCCAAGAGAUCUAUACCAUCAAGUGGAGCCCCACCGGGCCUCUGCCAGCAAGCCAAAACCUACAUCACGUUGGCAAUGCUUCAUUCAAUUUUGCAUUGAAACUGUGGGAUGUGGAGCCAGGCAUCUGAACCCACAUGCUCAAGAAACAU
Molecule: long non-coding RNA, 1026 nt
Filed under: Homo sapiens (human)
Lineage: Eukaryota; Metazoa; Chordata; Mammalia; Primates; Hominidae
Description: non-protein coding lnc-RPS4Y2-1:1
Source: RNAcentral